RNAcentral lists this ribosomal RNA (253 nucleotides) under uncultured prokaryote. Its description in RNAcentral is "partial 16S ribosomal RNA". It matches the Rfam family "Bacterial small subunit ribosomal RNA", at positions 525 to 777 of the family's 1533-position model. The record is from RNAcentral.
ACGGGGGGUGCGAGCGUUGUCCGGAUUUAUUGGGUUUAAAGGGUGCGUAGGCGGCCUGUUAAGUCGGCGGUGAAAGUCUGUGGCUCAACCAUGGAACUGCCGUUGAUACUGGCAGGCUGGAGUACGGUAGAGGAAGGUGGAAUUCCCGGUGUAGCAGUGAAAUGCGUAGAGAUCGGGAGGAACACCAGUGGCGAAGGCGGCCUUCUGGACCAGUACUGACGCUCAUGCACGAAAGCGUGGGGAGCAAACAGGA